AGCACGGGAGCAAUCCUGGUGGCGAGUGGCGAACGGGUGAGUAAUGUAUCGGAACGUACCUUUCAGUGGGGGAUAACGUAGCGAAAGUUACGUUAAUACCGCAUAUUCUGUGAGCAGGAAAGCAGGGGAUCGCAAGACCUUGCGCUGAUUGAGCGGCCGAUAUCAGAUUAGCUAGUUGGUGAGGUAAAGGCUCACCAAGGCGACGAUCUGUAGCGGGUCUGAGAGGAUGAUCCGCCACACUGGAACUGAGACACGGUCCAGACUCCUACGGGAGGCAGCAGUGGGGAAUUUUGGACAAUGGGGGCAACCCUGAUCCAGCCAUGCCGCGUGAGUGAAGAAGGCCUUCGGGUUGUAAAGCUCUUUCAGCCGGGAAGAAAUCACAUGGGUUAAUACCCUGUGUGGAUGACGGUACCGGAAUAAGAAGCACCGGCUAACUACGUGCCAGCAGCCGCGGUAAUACGUAGGGUGCGAGCGUUAAUCGGAAUUACUGGGCGUAAAGCGUGCGCAGGCGGUUUGUUAAGAUAGGCGUGAAAUCCCCGGGCUCAACCUGGGAACUGCGUUUAUGACUGGCAGGCUAGAGUAUGGCAGAGGGGGGUGGAAUUCCACGUGUAGCAGUGAAAUGCGUAGAGAUGUGGAGGAACACCGAUGGCGAAGGCGGCCCCCUGGGCCAAUACUGACGCUCAUGCACGAAAGC
RNAcentral lists this ribosomal RNA (694 nucleotides) under uncultured bacterium. RNAcentral describes it as "bacterial SSU rRNA". It matches the Rfam family "Bacterial small subunit ribosomal RNA", at positions 71 to 760 of the family's 1533-position model. The record is from RNAcentral.